AGCAAUCAGCGAGACUCCAUGGGCGUAGGACCCUCCAAGCCAGUGAGAUGAACCCGGUACCUCAGAUGGAAAUGCAGAAAUCACCCGUCUUCUGCAUCGCUCACGCUGGGAGCUGUAGACCGGAGCUGUUCCUAUUCGGCCAUCUUGGCUGCUCCCCCACUUCCUUGCUUUUUUAAGGGAUCCCUUCAGAUGAGGAGACGGAAGUCCAGAGGGUUUCAAUCGCUUGCCCAAAGUCACAGAGUCGGGAAGUGCAGAGCCAGGCCACUGCCUGGUUUUAAAUUCUGGGUGGAAAUGCAACGUGCCGGUCAACAUGGUGUGCUGGUGAGUGUGUUAUCCUCAGCGGUGCCCAGGGCACAAAUGUGCAGACCAGCUGACAGCAACAGCAGGCUCCCCUUUUCUCCAUCAGGAACUGUCAGAGGAGGCUGGAUGUGGAGGAAAGCUGGGAUUCCUUUUCUCAUUUGAAAAAUGUUGAAACAGAUGGAUAUAAAAAAAGCAAAAUGUCUUGUUCCACGUUUCCAAAAGAGGAAGUAUGAAAGGCGUAAUUGAAAUUCAAAACGUUUGGUCUGAAAAUCCUACAUCCU
Homo sapiens (human) is the source of this 581-nucleotide long non-coding RNA. Ensembl annotates it as LMCD1 antisense RNA 1. Its record names the gene LMCD1-AS1. The record is from Ensembl. NCBI's taxonomy places the organism in Eukaryota, Metazoa, Chordata, Mammalia, Primates, Hominidae.